RNAcentral lists this ribosomal RNA (625 nucleotides) under uncultured fungus. RNAcentral's name for it is "eukaryotic LSU rRNA". It matches the Rfam family "Eukaryotic large subunit ribosomal RNA", at positions 24 to 664 of the family's 3401-position model. Lineage: Eukaryota; Fungi. The record is from RNAcentral.
CCCGCUGAACUUAAGCAUAUCAAUAAGCGGAGGAAAAGAAACCAACAGGGAUUGCCCUAGUAACGGCGAGUGAAGCGGCAACAGCUCAAAUUUGAAAUCUGGCUCUUUCAGAGUCCGAGUUGUAAUUUGCAGAGGGCGCUUUGGCGUUGGCAGCGGUCCAAGUUCUUUGGAACAGGACGUCACAGAGGGUGAGAAUCCCGUACGUGGUCGCUAGCCUUCGCCGUGUAAAGCCCCUUCGACGAGUCGAGUUGUUUGGGAAUGCAGCUCUAAAUGGGAGGUAAAUUUCUUCUAAAGCUAAAUACUGGCCAGAGACCGAUAGCGCACAAGUAGAGUGAUCGAAAGAUGAAAAGCACUUUGGAAAGAGAGUCAAAUAGCACGUGAAAUUGUUGAAAGGGAAGCGCUUGCAGCCAGACUUGCCUGUAGUUGCUUAUCCGGACUUUUGUCCGGUGCACUCUUCUGCGGGCAGGCCAGCAUCAGUUUGGGCGGUUGGAUAAAGGUCUCUGUCAUGUACCUCCUUUCGGGGAGGCCUUAUAGGGGAGACGACAUGCAACCAGCCUGGACUGAGGUCCGCGCAUCUGCUAGGAUGCUGGCGUAAUGGCUGUAAGCGGCCCGUCUUGAAACACGG